UUCCAGUGAAUGCAUUAAUGAGUUGCAGGUCAUUGUAGGCUGACAGCAAAAUGUACUCACAAAAAAUGGGCAACUGUACUACAGACUCCCUUUUCCAGAAAUUGCACUGGGACAUGCGAUUCAGCUGUCUGAUUGCCAAAGCUGUCUGCCAUUACAAAAACCUGGCAUCUAUACAGAUGGUUUUCAGCAAGCUGUUCACAAGCUGAGGAGAGGAAAAAGUACAGGUGCUGUGUUUCAGCUUCAGAGUUUCAUUGUAGCUGGGGAUCAAAAUGUUAUUUGGAAAAGGAAAUAAAAGCUAACUAUAGUCAAGUUAGAAAACUCAUGAACAUGUCCCUCUGGAAAUUUCCAUCACCUUUUGUUUAUGUUUCUGGCACUUUCAGCCCUUCUUUGAUUAAAUCCCAGAAAGAAUUCUGUGACACUGGCUUGGCUAUGUUUUGCUGAAGCUUCACUGAGGGGAAAAUAGUAUUAGUCCUUUUACCUGGUUUUGGAUUACCUGAAUUGUUUCAUAUAAGAUGCCACUUAAUCCAAGUAUUCUAAAAAGUAUAAAUAAACUUGAGCUAUUGGGGGGUAAAAGGGUGUAUGUAAGAAAAAAAUUGACAUUUUGAAAUGUUGGUCUUCAGAUCAAACAAAUUAAGAUUAAUCGCUCUAGGAUGCUGAAUGAAAAUUUGAUAUCAUUUUAGGACUCUGGUGUUUGAUCUUACAGUUUUAAGAAUCAAAAGGACCAAAUAAUUAUUACUUAUGAUACAUUCAAAUAUCUUAGCCAAAUUAUCUUAGAUGGAUAGAUUAUUACCUAAAGAAUUGUGAGAAAUCUCUUGUUCCUUGAUACUUUAAUGGUGGGAGCAAAAGAAAAUGGCACUCCCACCUAGCACAGUCUGAAUACCAACCCUUUUAUCCAUAAGAUAGCUUUUGAGAAUAACUCAAGAAUAUUACAUCCUAUACACUUAUUCUUUGAACUUAAUAUUUAGGAGGGGUGCUGGACACUGGACUGGAUCACCCUGAAACAGUACAUUGAAUAAACAGAGUGAAAAAAAUGAAUCAGGAGUCCACCAGUGACAGCUUUACUAUAGCCAGUUCUGGUCAGAGUAUUAAAGAAUUAACCAGCAUAAGGAUAGCCUGAUCAAUCAGGAGUCCACCAGUGACAGCUUUACUAUAGCCAGUUCUGGUCAGAGUAUUAAAGAAUUAACCAGCAUAAAGAUAGUCUGAUUCUGGUUCAGCUGGCUUCAAGAAUUGGCAUGGUCUUGGCAUGCUACAAACACAGAGUAAAUCAUCUGUAAAUCAUCUGUAAAGGAGAGAUGACCAAAUAAAAUGCACCUGGAAAAAAAAAAUUGGAAAUGGACUGACUACAACCAAAGGUAGUCAGAAAAAAUGAAGUGCAGUGAAAAGGACCAAAACUUGCAAAAAUAUUUGCAAUUAAAAUCCCAAAAUAAGGAAAGAAAGGUAAAGAAUGAGACUGGAGAAGAAAUUGGAGUAAUAAAACGCUAAACAAAAGAAAAAAAUCUGAAACAAAGUGAAAACAAUAAAAGUGACUAGGAGGACAUGAAGUGCAGGGAAGUGGACCUGAAGCUUGCCUAAUUGAUCCUCAUUGAAAUCUUGGAAUCAGAGAGGAAAGUGUAGCAAACACUCUGGAAAGGAGACAAAAUCAAAUCAAAUGCAAUUGUGGAAAAAAAAAAAA
This 1672-nucleotide long non-coding RNA is filed under the name Ficedula albicollis (Collared flycatcher). Its description in RNAcentral is "lncRNA (ENSFALG00000024034.1)". The record is from RNAcentral. Lineage: Eukaryota; Metazoa; Chordata; Aves; Passeriformes; Muscicapidae.